CAAUAUUAAGCGUGGUAAUGUGCACAUAAAUUGAUUUGGGUCUCUAGGUCAGCCCUCUUUGAUGCCUUUCGGCUUUGAUUUGGGGGCAUGGUUCCACAGCAAAACG
Molecule: small nucleolar RNA, 106 nt
Organism: Rhododendron vialii
Lineage: Eukaryota; Viridiplantae; Streptophyta; Magnoliopsida; Ericales; Ericaceae
Product: small nucleolar RNA snoR100
Exons: 1
Source: RefSeq, a predicted model, not a curated record